UUGAUGGAUGUAGCAAAAAGUUCGCCGGUAGUAGCAAAAAUUAAUGCCGGUUCCAGCAAAAAAUCUCAGCAAACGGAAGCUCAAUUGUCUGUUGAAACAAAAGAAUUAGCCGGUUCCAGCAAAUAAAAACGUCGCUUCCAGCAAACAAAAAAUUCAGCAAAACUCUGAUGGUUGGUUCCAGCAAAAAAAAAAUGCCGGUUGUAGCAUCCCUACCGUCGGAUGUAGCAUUUCUCGCGAGUGGUUGUAGCAUCUCGCUGCCGUUUGCAGCACAACAUCCAUGGCGGCUGCCGCCUCAUCAUGCUUGUCGACCUUGCGCGUGGGGGUGUGGCAGCGGUGGGGAAAAGAGAAGGCUCGCCGUGAGGUGGCUGGAGUGCAGCACCGGUACCCCCUUGUAGCAUAACUCGCCGCCCCUCGUGCAUCACCAGCAGCUCGCGGAGUGGUUCGUUGCGGGAGAAAGAAAGAGAAAAGGCAGUGGAGAAAGAGUGGAUACUACGGGAGGAAGAAGAAAGAAGAAAGAGAUAGGGUGUGGUGGGAGACGAAAGAGAUAAGGUGUGGUGUGGAG
Molecule: long non-coding RNA, 562 nt
Filed under: Triticum aestivum (bread wheat)
Lineage: Eukaryota; Viridiplantae; Streptophyta; Magnoliopsida; Poales; Poaceae
Description: long non-coding RNA (TAES_LNC004719)
Source: RNAcentral